CACGUAGGGCGCGAGCGUUGUCCGGAAUUAUUGGGCGUAAAGAGCUCGUAGGCGGUCUGUCGCGUCGGCUGUGAAAUCCCGAGGCUCAACCUCGGGUCUGCAGUCGAUACGGGCAAACUGGAGUGUUGCAGGGGAGACUGGAAUUCCUGGUGUAGCGGUGAAAUGCGCAGAUAUCAGGAGGAACACCGGUGGCGAAGGCGGGUCUCUGGGCAACAACUGACGCUGAGGAGCGAAAGCGUGGGGAGCGAACAGG
RNAcentral lists this ribosomal RNA (253 nucleotides) under uncultured bacterium. RNAcentral describes it as "partial 16S ribosomal RNA". It matches the Rfam family "Bacterial small subunit ribosomal RNA", at positions 524 to 776 of the family's 1533-position model. The record is from RNAcentral.